RNAcentral lists this ribosomal RNA (301 nucleotides) under uncultured bacterium. RNAcentral describes it as "partial 16S ribosomal RNA". It matches the Rfam family "Bacterial small subunit ribosomal RNA", at positions 509 to 808 of the family's 1533-position model. The record is from RNAcentral.
CAGUCGCCGCGGUAAUACGUAGGUCCCGAGCGUUGUCCGGAUUUAUUGGGCGUAAAGCGAGCGCAGGCGGUUAGAUAAGUCUGAAGUUAAAGGCUGUGGCUUAACCAUAGUACGCUUUGGAAACUAUUUAACUUGAGUGCAGAAGGGGAGAGUGGAAUUCCAUGUGUAGCGGUGAAAUGCGUAGAUAUAUGGAGGAACACCGGUGGCGAAAGCGGCUCUCUGGUCUGUAACUGACGCUGAGGCUCGAAAGCGUGGGGAGCAAACAGGAUUAGAUACCCGAGUAGUCCCUGUCUCUUAUACA